Molecule: long non-coding RNA, 588 nt
Filed under: Lathyrus oleraceus (garden pea)
Lineage: Eukaryota; Viridiplantae; Streptophyta; Magnoliopsida; Fabales; Fabaceae
Description: Pisum sativum (pea) long non-coding RNA (PSAT_LNC023884)
Source: RNAcentral
AAAAUAAUUUUUCUUGAAACUACUGCAUAAUACAACAAUAAGAAGAUUAAAUUAUUACUUAUACAUCAUUAAUACACUUCUUCCUAAAUGCAAAUUUGUACCCGAUGGUACCGUCACUUAGCCAUCAUGAUACAAAUCUACACUAAAGAGAAUUAGAUAUAUUAUUUACAUAUUCAAUUCAAUGUACAUUUUCGUUUUAAAGUGCUUUUAAUUAACAUUCAUCAUAUGAUAGAACAUUCAAAACAUGUUUCACUUAAUCACCAACAAAAUAUCUUGCAACAUUUGUUUCUUCACGAGGUGAACUAUUUAUGGACUUUUUGUAUAUCAUCAUAUUCUUCAGCAGUUUCUUUGAUUGUCUCCAAAGUAGGAGAAUUUGAAGGUUUUGUUGGGAAAAUUAUGGCUGGAGGAGCAACCUCCAUCCAAGAAUUUAGAUUUCUUAUUCCUUUUCUCAUUGAUGGUGAUAUUAUUAAUUGUUGAAUAUAAAAUCUUUAUAAUAGAAUAAUAAAUUUAGUUAAUUUCUCUCCUCCUCCUAUAUCUAGAAAGAAGAGAGUCUUUUGAAAUUUUUUGAGGAUUAAGAUGGGUUUGAAC